Molecule: ribosomal RNA, 253 nt
Filed under: uncultured bacterium
Lineage: Bacteria
Description: partial 16S ribosomal RNA
Rfam family: Bacterial small subunit ribosomal RNA
Source: RNAcentral
GACGGAGGAUGCAAGCGUUAUCCGGAAUUAUUGGGCGUAAAGCGUCCGCAGGUGGCUGUUCAAGUCUGCUGUCAAAGCGCAGAGCUUAACUCUGUACAGGCGGUGGAAACUGAAGAGCUAGAGUAUGGUAGGGGUAGAGGGAAUUCCCGGUGUAGCGGUGAAAUGCGCAGAUAUCAGGAGGAACACCGGUGGCGAAGGCGGGUCUCUGGGCCGUAACUGACGCUGAGGAGCGAAAGCGUGGGUAGCGAACAGG